UGCGAACUUGGACAAAAUACACUGGGGGUCUGGGCUGGAAGGCAGAUUCCUGCAAGUCCCCUCCUCUGGAGGAAGCUAAACAGCAAAGGCGUCGAGCGGCCCUGCCCGCUCCUUUUUGUGUGUAUAUACGAAGAACACAGGAACAGCUGUUCUUCUUUCAGUCAUUCCAACUAAAACAGACAUUUUGCAUAGAGAGAAUACCAGCCCACUUGGUUUCUUGUUUUUUAUUAUUGGCGUCAGCUAGGACUAUACGUGGCCUUAAACGUCAUGCACUGAUGGACAGAAGAGAAAAAAGGAUGAAAAAAAAGACAAAGGAGGGGAAAGAGGAGCAGCAGUGAAAAUUUGUAAUAAAAACUCUUCUUAAUUUAUAGACGUUCCGGUUCACGGGGGUGACAUAAUUGCGGGGAAACAUGCCGGUCUGCCCGUGGCAAGCUCCUUUCCACCAGUUGGGGUCUGAGUUAUCCAUGACAUGGAUAAAAUCUCCCCGGCGGAAGCCCAGCUCUCCAUCCUCCUGGGGAUCAAAGUCAAAGAGGGCCUGGACGUAUGUCGGCUGCUGCAAAACAGGAGCAGGAAAAACCCACAUUGCAUUCCUGGUCUGUGACUGGCCACCUCUGAGGCCAGAUGGGUUCCAGGGGGAAACGAAUGCGUGCCAAAUUCUCCAUGUUUCUUAAACUCACCUCCCAUCUCCCAUCUCCCCGUUUAUUCUUACCUAUUCUAAGUUUACAGGCCAAGCGGGUUUAGUGUGAUAUUUCCCAGUGCUCAGAAAAUAUUAGAGUAUGUCUCCCAGAGGAGGGUGGCCGAUUGUGCCGUAUUAUCAAGUAGAGGGCAGGCAGUGCUUGGAGGAGAAAGUUCUUCAGAAACAGCCAUCUGUGUUUAGGCCGUGGGCCCAGAAUCUGCAAAUCCCUUCUACGACACCCUUAAGGUAUUAAAGCCUAAAGUUCUGGAGCUCGAAUAACAUAAGGGGCUCUAACCGUAACUUACAACCAGGGCUCGAGGGACAGGAACGGGUGCCGACUCCAUUACCUCACAAGCAUAGUUUUCCUCAUAACUUGCUUCCAGGGACAGGAUCUUUGGGUGGGUGUGUUAAAGACCAUCUCCCUAGAGAGGCUGGCAAGCUGGCUACACACUACCUCUGGAAAAGCAAAAACCUUGUAUUUGAAACAACAAAUC
RNAcentral lists this long non-coding RNA (1170 nucleotides) under Pan troglodytes (chimpanzee). RNAcentral describes it as "long non-coding RNA NONPTRT006926". Lineage: Eukaryota; Metazoa; Chordata; Mammalia; Primates; Hominidae. The record is from RNAcentral.